AGUAUCCAAGUAAAAGGUGAUUGAUUUGGGCUGAGCCUUUCUGAUGGUGUGUUAUAUAAUCACCAAUUGUAUUGCAUCGGAAUUUUUGCAUGGUAGCAAUGCUGUUAGCAUGGGCGCUUAAGCAGAUGGGUGUGAGAAAAGUUCCUGGGGCCGACUGAAUGUUAGUUUUUUUCUACUGUAAGUUUUGGGAUUUUUUUCGCACUGAUUUUUCAGUGUGCUCUCAAGUGGAAUUAUGCCGCAUGACCUUCACUAUACGUUUAUCGCUCUCAUUCUUAAAAUAUAAAAAAACGGGUCUCCCCGAAGUAUUUUUGCCCUAUUAGUUUGGAUCUCCUUCUCAACGCCAACUGCACGAAGAUGAUACUGCCUACCAGCUCAGGCGAUGUGACUACGGCAAGGGGACUUGAGCUGACCCCCACCUGACCGGCGGACGAUGCUGUGGCUCGUCAAAUGGAUGCACCACGACUAGGAGAGGCAGAGCAAGUCUCCUUCGAAUUCGCCCCACCGGGAGUAAGACAAUGUGUGGUGAGUUUAUUUUUCACAACGCGCCGCUAUAAUGUUAUGAAGAACAUGACAACGAGCGUGUGGUAGUUAGGGCGAUGGAUGAUCGACCCAUGACAUCUGACAAAUACCUAUUGGUUCUCCAUGAACUUCAACAAGUGAGCAUCUGACACGUUUGAUGUGAGCAUUCAAAAAUAAUCUAGUUAUUGAUACCGUUGCAAUGACGGUUCAAAAAUAAUCUAACUAUUUAAGUAGUUAAGGUCGAAUUUUCCUAGGGUCUCAAGGUUACGUUUACUCAAAGUGUGAUGAAGUGCUAAUAGCAAGUAACCAAGUUAUGUGGCGUAGAUUCGACGAUUUCUUAAUUAAAUUAAAAACUAAAAAUAAUAAGAAAACAGGGAUUGCAAGACUGUAUUGGAUAUGGGUUGGAAACAAUUGUAAUGCAAUUCCUUAGAUUUUAAAUCCCCAUAAGCUAUCCAUACAAACAAACGAUAUCCAACUUAUUUAAUUUAUACAAAAUAAGAUAAAUACAAUUUACUGUCGCAAUUCUUCUCUGUAGGGUCACACCCUUUUGGGACCGCUAACCUACUACCAAUCCUAAAAUCUCAGUCUGCUCUCUCGAGUCAGGAUCUGAAACCUGUACGACGAUAAAUCAAAUGAGAAUUGCACUCUUGGCGGACUAGUCUAAUCGGCCCUUAUUAGUGUUAACAAUUAACCUAGUUGAUUAAUGUUGAGGUUCUAAGAUAGGCAAGCUCUUUCGAGUCAAAACAAAUCUAACAAGAUCUUAUUCAGCUUGACCAAACAAGAAAAGAACAUAAACGAAAUCAAUUAUAAACCGAAAUUCAUCCAACUCGCAUAAAUCAUCAAAGUCAAAUAAUCAUUAUUUCAUAAGGAAUCACCUAGGGUUCAUACAAUAUAAGCUGAAUGGAGGUUAGCUACUCAUAGUCACGAAGAAUAAAUCACAAUCAACAAAAGAAACCAUUGAAACUAAGUUUACAAGAAGAAAUCUCAAAAACCUAAUCCUACCGAUCUUAGUCGAAGAACUUGAUUUGAUAAUCUUGAUACUUCGUCGUCGAUCCAACUUCUCGAAGUUAAUGUCUUCUCGCCACUCAAAAGUCUCUCAACUCUCUCUCAAAUUUGGUCAAAAAACUCGCCAUAAACUAAAGGAGGAGCCCUUUAUUUAUAGGAUUCGAGUUCCUUAUCCCAGCUGGAUUUGGUCGUAUAUUACUUCU
Molecule: long non-coding RNA, 1727 nt
Filed under: Linum usitatissimum (flax)
Lineage: Eukaryota; Viridiplantae; Streptophyta; Magnoliopsida; Malpighiales; Linaceae
Description: long non-coding RNA (LUSI_LNC005925)
Source: RNAcentral